RNAcentral lists this ribosomal RNA (865 nucleotides) under uncultured bacterium. RNAcentral's name for it is "bacterial SSU rRNA". It matches the Rfam family "Bacterial small subunit ribosomal RNA", at positions 1 to 916 of the family's 1533-position model. The record is from RNAcentral.
UCGCCCUUAGAUUUGUCCUCGCUCAGAAACGAACGCUGGCGGCAGGCUUAACACAUGCAAGUCGAACGCCCCGCAAGGGGAGUGGCAGACGGGUGAGUAACGCGUGGGAACAUACCCUUUCCUGCGGAAUAGCUCCGGGAAACUGGAAUUAAUACCGCAUACGCCCUACGGGGGAAAGAUUUAUCGGGGAAGGAUUGGCCCGCGUUGGAUUAGCUAGUUGGUGGGGUAAAGGCCUACCAAGGCGACGAUCCAUAGCUGGUCUGAGAGGAUGAUCAGCCACAUUGGGACUGAGACACGGCCCAAACUCCUACGGGAGGCAGCAGUGGGGAAUAUUGGACAAUGGGCGCAAGCCUGAUCCGGCCAUGCCGCGUGAGUGAUGAAGGCCUUAGGGUUGUAAAGCUCUUUCACCGGAGAAGAUAAUGACGGUAUCCGGAGAAGAAGCCCCGGCUAACUUCGUGCCAGCAGCCGCGGUAAUACGAAGGGGGCUAGCGUUGUUCGGAAUUACUGGGCGUAAAGCGCACGUAGGCGGAUAUUUAAGUCAGGGGUGAAAUCCCAGAGCUCAACUCUGGAACUGCCUUUGAUACUGGGUAUCUUGAGUAUGGAAGAGGUAAGUGGAAUUCCGAGUGUAGAGGUGAAAUUCGUAGAUAUUCGGAGGAACACCAGUGGCGAAGGCGGCUUACUGGUCCAUUACUGACGCUGAGGUGCGAAAGCGUGGGGAGCAAAUAGGAUUAGAUACCCUGGUAGUCCACGCCGUAACGAUGAAUGUUAGCCGUCGGGCAGUAUACUGUUCGGUGGCGCAGCUAACGCAUUAAACAUUCCGCCUGGGGAGUACGGUCGCAAGAUUAAAACUCAAAGGAAUUGACGG